Molecule: ribosomal RNA, 429 nt
Filed under: Bacteroidota bacterium
Lineage: Bacteria; Pseudomonadati; Bacteroidota
Description: Bacteroidetes bacterium partial 16S ribosomal RNA
Rfam family: Bacterial small subunit ribosomal RNA
Source: RNAcentral
UAGGGAAUCUUCCGCAAUGGACGCAAGUCUGACGGAGCAACGCCGCGUGAGUGAAGAAGGAUUUCGGUUCGUAAAACUCUGUUGUUAGAGAAGAACAGCGCAUAGAGUAACUGUUAUGCGUGUGACGGUAUCUAACCAGAAAGCCACGGCUAACUACGUGCCAGCAGCUGCGGUAAUACGUAGGUGGCAAGCGUUGUCCGGAUUUAUUGGGCGUAAAGCGAGCGCAGGCGGUCAAUUAAGUCUGAUGUGAAAUCCCCCGGCUCAACCGGGGAGGGUGAUUGGAAACUGGUUGACUUGAGUGCAGAAGAGGGGAGUGGAAUUCCAUGUGUAGCGGUGAAAUGCGUAGAUAUAUGGAGGAACACCAGUGGCGAAGGCGACUCACUGGUCUGUAACUGACGCUGAGGCUCGAAAGCGUGGGUAGCAAACAGG